GGGAGUAAGAGUAGGAAUACGGUGCAAAUAUGAUGUAAGAGACCGGCUGCUAUUUCCAAUUUUGGUAUGCAACAUGACAGCCAGCCGGAGACGACGACGGCGGCGGCGAAGGACGGAGAGCUCGCCGUCUGAUUGAGCCGAUGGAGAUGGGGAUGAAUUCUGUGCAGCCAAAUGCUCAGUUUCAUGUGCCGCACAAGUCCCUCUCGUUGGAUAUAUGGCAAUAAGACAGAUAUUGUUAUCAGCAAGUAUGAGGGUAGCUUUAUGGUGAUGGUGACACAAAUAGGAUGCAUGGGAACCAUAUUAGCUGCCAGGAAAGAUGAAAGUGUUUUUUCUGAUCCAACCUACAAUGUUCUUUUUGGAAAGAGGGAUGAGCCGUUACUACUAGCUUGUGCACGCCAACUUAUCGAACACAUAAGCUCUGAUUUGUAAACUGUCCUUUGGCACCUGUACCACACUCCAUUUUCUUACAGACACGGUCAUUGAUGAUAUCUCUUGGUCUGAAGGAUCAUUCCCAGGUAUUAUUUGAACUUCCCUUCAUAUGACUGUAAUUCUCCGUGUUUUUCUCCUGAAUCUUGCCAAAUCAGCGAGCAUGGUCGACUGUACUGUGCAUAUCAGUGUUUCUGAGGCAACAAUGAAAUAUAUUGUUUCCACCAUAAUUGAGAACCGCCUAUAGUAAUAGUUUUGCAUAUCGAGCUGGGGUUGGAAUGGCUGGGCACAUAUCUAUUCACUUCAUCAACAGAGAUGUUGACAUGAUUAGUGCUGAGCAAUUAACACUCUCUUACCAAUCUAGAAUUUUGUAACUAUGAUUUCUUCGGAGUCGAUGUAUCACAAAGUAGUUAUAUAACCAAAGUUAUAGCGAGAAUUGCACUACUAGCUUUGAUGAGUAUUUCAUCUACGAACUUCUGAAUGCUAAUGGUUGUAUUCAUGUUGCUUUGCUAAUUUGUGGCCUAAAAUCGCUCGUUGAGCUCA
Molecule: RNA transcript, 969 nt
Organism: Oryza sativa Japonica Group (Japanese rice)
Lineage: Eukaryota; Viridiplantae; Streptophyta; Magnoliopsida; Poales; Poaceae
Source: RefSeq, a predicted model, not a curated record